UUUCUCAUCUAUAUAUCGCCGAUACGUUUGAAUUUUUGGCAACUUCCGUCCAUAUCCAUGACGAAGUUGUUCGUUCGCAUCGAGUGAAGAGUAACCUGACCCGUUGCUGGGCACCUGGAUUUGAAAGGUCGUUCCGAUCCUUUCGGAUAAUUUGGGAAUCAGCUGUGGUCACAUCA
Molecule: non-coding RNA, 176 nt
Organism: Aspergillus flavus AF70
Lineage: Eukaryota; Fungi; Ascomycota; Eurotiomycetes; Eurotiales; Aspergillaceae
Source: Rfam